GGAGGCAGAGGAAAAUUAAACACGCACACAGGAGAGAGAGAGAGAGAAAAAAAAGUGAUGUGAAGACAGCAGCAGAGAUUGGAGCGAUGUGGCCAUAGCCAAGCUAUGUCAGCAGCCAUCAGAAGUUGGAAGAGGCAAGGAAGGAUUUGAGCCUAGAGCCUUUGGAAGGAGCAUGGCCCUGUUGGUUCUGGCCUCCAGAACUGCAAGAAAAUACAUUUUUGUUGUUUUAAACCACCCAGUUCAUGGUAAUUUGUAACACCAGCUACAAGAAAUUAACACAAGGCUGAUGUGACUUUCCAUCAGGAGAGAGACAGCCCCAGGUAGGUGUUUCAGAUAUCACAUCCAAUAGAACAAAUUAAAGACAAACACCCUAAAUUCUAGAUGUUGAUUUGUGAGCAAGUUAUUUCUCCUAUGGGCAACUCUAGUUGAAAUAUGCAAUUCAUUAUGUUGAAACAUGGAAUUGUUAUUUUCAUAGGUUAAAAAAAAAUCACAUAGUGGCAAUAUAGUAGUAGUGCUCGUUUUUUGUUUUUUGUUUUUUUGUCAAAAAUGCUAGACAACAUGGAAGAUCAGGGAAAUAUUAACAGUCUGAUUCAGUAACCUUUAACAGCUUCUUUUCAGGUUACACAGGCUAAGCUAACUUUUAUAUCAGGAUCAGGAUCUGCAGAGUUAUUAGUAUAGUGCUCUGCAGAUCCUGGUCCUAGUAUAGCAGGAUCUGCAGACCCUAGUUGUACCUGGCCAUGUUCCCCACCAAUGACUGAGAAAGAAAUGGCUCGAACAGAAAACAGUGGUCUUGAAAGGCAACGCAACAGUAGGUUACAAAUAGCAUUAGCUUUUUCUUUAAAGAAAUUCAUUGUAACCAGUGAAGGAUAAGAUUUUAAAUUAGAAAAAUGGAAAUCCUAUGAAUAAAAAACUAGUAAGCUUGAGAGCAGAAUCACUGUGGAAAAAAAACAGAUUGAAAAAUAACUUGCAGGUAUCAUAGACAGGAAAUUGCCACUAGAGAAAACAGGAAACUUGUGAUAGAUAAAAAUGAAGUAUUUUCAUUUGGAACAAGAGACCAACUGAAGAGAGAUCAAGUGAAGGGGGUUUAUUUUAAUGAAACACAAAGAUUCUUGUGGAAAUCAAAGUGCCGGAGCCAGAAACAGGGCUCAACCUUCAAGAUUAGAGCUGUAUUCAAGUUGUUCAAGUUGGCUCUCGGUCCCAAAGCAACAGCAAUGUCACUAAGGUUACAAGUAAAAGGUGAGACCUGCCUGCCUCAUUGUCUGACAGCUUUCCCAGCCUCCUCCAGGCUCCCCUCCGUUUUCUCUUAUACGCAUUCCCCCAAUAAACUUCCUGUACAUUUAAUACCAUCUCAGUGUCUGCUCCCAGGAGGACCCUAACUGACACACUGGGGCAUUUAGCCUCCAAUUCCUUUUCUCCCUUGGCUGAGAUCUGUUCCAGGAAGUAUCUCCAGGACACUCCAGCCUGUUGCACAGGCCAAAGAAAAGCCCUCAGGCAGAGGAGCAAAUACUUGCAAGAGGACACCAGUGGCAAGAACAGGGACAUGCCACCCUGUGAAGACGUGCCUUUCGUCAAGAUUGUAAGUUUCCUGAGGCCUUCCCACCCAUGCGGAACUGAAAAAAUCUUCCUGUGACUUCCUACAACUUUUGGGAUAAGGACCAAAGUAUUUCAAAUGACCUACAAGAUCCUCUAUCAUCUGGACUAUGGACUUACUUGCUCACUCCAGCUGUCCUAUGCUUUCUUCAGCGCCUCCAGUGUAGCCUGCUCUCUUUCACCUCAGGGCUAACUUCUAUUUUUUCUCCAGGUCGAAUGAUCUAAAUAUCACUUCCUCAGGGUGGAAGGAAAUCUUCUGGGACUAGCUAGUCAAGCUAUGAUAAGAGAAACAAGAACUGGAUUUAACCUUUGGUUGCAAACAACUAAAAACUGGACGGCUGGAGAUAUCAUGCUACCAGACUUCAAACUAUAAGGCCACAGUAACCAAAACAGCAUGGUACUGAUACAAAAACAGACACAUAGACCAAUGGAACAGAAUAGAGAACUCAGCAAUAAGACCGCACACCUACAACCAUCUGAUCUCCGACAAACCUGACACGAACAAGCAAUGGGGAAAAGAUUCCCUGUUUAAUAAAUGGUGUUGGGAGAAUUGGCUAGCCAUAUACAGAAAAUUGAAACUGGGCUCCUUCCUUACACCAUAUACAAAAGUUAAGUCAAGAUGGAUUAAAGACUUAAAUGUAAACCCCAAAACUAUAAAAAUCCUAGAAGAAAAUCUAGGCAAUACCAUUCAAGACAUCGGCAUGGGCAAAGAUUUCACGACAAAAACACCAAAAGCAACUGCAACAAAAGCAAAAAUUGACAAAUGGUAUCUAAUUCAACUAAAGAGCUUCUACGCAGCAAAAGAAACUAUUAUCAGAGUGAACAGACAACCUACAGAAUGGGAGAAAAUUCUUGCAAUCUAUCCAUCUGACAAAGGUCUAAUAUCCAGAGUCUACAGGAAACUUUAUAGGAAAAAAACAACCCCAUUAAAAGUGGGCAAAGGACAUGAACAGAUACUUCUCAAAAGAAGACAUUCAUGUAGCCAACAAACAUGAAAAAAAGCUCAACAUCACCGAUGAUUGGAGAAAUGCAAAUCUAAACCACAAUGAGAUACCAUCCCAUGCCAAUCAGAAUGGGAAUUAUUUAAAAGUCCAGAAACAAAAGAUGCUGGUAAGGUUUCAGAGAAAAAGGAACACUUUUACACUAUUGGUGGGAGUGUAAGGAAGACAGUGUGCCAAUUCCUCACAGAUCUAGAAGCAGAAAUGCCAUUUGACCCAGCAAUCCCAUUACUGGGUAUAUACCUACAGAAAUAUAAAU
Homo sapiens (human) is the source of this 2847-nucleotide long non-coding RNA. Ensembl annotates it as PAXBP1 antisense RNA 1. Its record names the gene PAXBP1-AS1. Lineage: Eukaryota; Metazoa; Chordata; Mammalia; Primates; Hominidae. The record is from Ensembl.